ACUCAAAUGAAUAGACGGGGACCCGCACAACCAGUGGAGCGUGUGGUUCAAUUCGAGACGAAACGAAGGACCUCACCAAGGUUUGACAUGCUAACGUCCUAUUUUUCAGAAAUGAGAGAAAUUCGUAAGAAGGUUAGCACAGGUGCUGCAUGGUUGUCGUCAGCUCGUGCCGUGAGGUGUUCCCUUAAGUGGGGAAACGAGCGCAACCCCCAUUCAAUGUUAAAUUAUUCAUUGAAAACUGAUCUGCCGUUAGGCAGGAAGGAAGGAGGGGAAGACGUCAAAUCAGCAUGGCCUUUAUACCUUGGGCCACACACACACUACAAUGGCGAAAAACAACGAGCAGCAAGCCGGCAACGGCAAGCAAAUCUCUUAAAUUUCGCCUCAGUUCAGAUUGGGGUCUGCAACUCGACCCCAUGAAGUCGGAAUUGGUAGUAAUCGCAGGUCAGAAAACUGCGGUGAAUACGUUCUCGGGUCUUGUACACACCGCCCGU
This 491-nucleotide ribosomal RNA is filed under the name uncultured bacterium. RNAcentral's name for it is "partial 16S ribosomal RNA". It matches the Rfam family "Bacterial small subunit ribosomal RNA", at positions 899 to 1397 of the family's 1533-position model. The record is from RNAcentral.